Molecule: RNA transcript, 1375 nt
Organism: Chenopodium quinoa (quinoa)
Lineage: Eukaryota; Viridiplantae; Streptophyta; Magnoliopsida; Caryophyllales; Amaranthaceae
Gene name: 29 kDa ribonucleoprotein B, chloroplastic-like
Exons: 5
Source: RefSeq, a predicted model, not a curated record
UUGAAAAAAAAAAAAAUGAAGGUAGGAUUAUCAAUGGAAGCAAGAGUAGCAACAACCUCUAUCCUCUUCUCUCACCUCCACACUUCACUCCCUUCUCCCACUCUCUCUAAACUUCCAUUCUUAUCUAAAUCUUCACCUUCUCAAUUUCAUCUUCGCAUUUCCAAUUCUACCCUUUCUUCUCCUCUCAAAUUCCCCCUCUACCCCUCAAAUACCCCCUUUAUCAGACCAACUUUUGAAUUACAAUCUGCAGUUGAAGAAGUUGCAUUAGAGCAAAUUCCCAGUGAAACCCAGGAUAAUAAUAUUCAAAAGAGGAAACUUUAUGUGGUUAAUUUGCCAUAUUCUCUGUCUUCUGAUGAUUUGAAGAAGGUGUUUAGUGAGUGUGGUACUGUCAGGGAUAUUGAGUUGAUUAAAAAUAAAGAUGGGAAGAACAGAGGAUUUGCAUUUGUUACAAUGGAUUCUGGAGAUGAAGCUGAGGCUGCUAUUGAUAAAUUUCAUUCCAAGGAAUUGUCAGGGAGAACUAUUAGGGUGGAGUUUGCAAAGAGUCUAAAGAAGCCUCAACCGCAACCUCCUGCAGUUCAACCUGUUAAAGAGACAGUAUAUAAACUUUAUGUAUCCAAUCUCCAAUGGAAAGUGAGAUCCACGGACCUCAAAGAAUUCUUUUCAUCUGAUUUUACUCCUGUUUCAACUAGGGUUGUUUUUGAGAGUACUCCAUUUUUGAGAUCUGCUGGUUAUGGUUUUGUCUCGUUUAACACAAGGGAGGAAGCGGAGGAUGCUCUCACUUCUUUGGAUGGGAAGGAGCUAAUGGGUCGUCCAGUACGCCUAAAAUUCAGUGAGCAGAAUAAGGAUGGUGAUGCUACAAAUGAAGGAGAAGAAACAAAUUUGGAUGAAUCUUCAGCUGUGCUUAGUGAAACAGAACUAUCCGAAGAUCAGUCUGACAAGUCAUAGAGAGAAAAAUCUUCCACUUGGGCAUGCUUGAACAUUUGCGAAAAAAAAAACCUUUUCUCCUUUUGAAGUCGAGGUACUCAGAAGUGUACUGUCAAGUUGCUUAAUCUGGAGUUUAGAGUUCCCUAUCUCUUGUUCCAAGUGUGUUGCCAUUAAUUACGUCGAGAUGAUUGUACUACCUAUCGUUUAAGAGACGAAAUUGUCGGUGACGUCUAUAUGGCUCUUGGAUGAGGCUUUGGUAUGGGCAGCAAUAACUAUACUCAACCACAUUCUUGGAUUUUUUUUUUUUUUUUUUUUUUUUUUUUUUUUUCUGGCAUCCUUGUCAUUUCGCAUUGAAAUAUAUGGUUAAUUGGUUAACAUGCUUAUCAAAUGUCUACUUUCUAACUAUACUACAUUAAUGUUCAAGGCAGUUGUACCCUCGUGAGUCGUGACA